UGUACACACCGCCCGUCGCUUCUACCGAUUGGUCGUCCCGGUGAAUGAUCGGGAGGGCGCGCCGUGGACCAGCAAUGGUUCCGGCGCGUUCGAACUUUUGUAAAUUUGGACGACUAGAGGAAGAAGAAGUCGUAACAAGGUUUCCGUAGGUGAACCUGC
RNAcentral lists this ribosomal RNA (159 nucleotides) under uncultured fungus. Its description in RNAcentral is "partial 18S ribosomal RNA". It matches the Rfam family "Eukaryotic small subunit ribosomal RNA", at positions 1661 to 1818 of the family's 1831-position model. The record is from RNAcentral. Lineage: Eukaryota; Fungi.